UCGGAACCCUUCUGAACGUCCGUUUGCGCUCAAAUUUGACAGGAAGUCUCGGUUUAACGUACUGAGUAAGAAUAUAUCUUAAGUUUUCAGUUUCGACCCCGUUUGGUCACCGAAAACUGUGCCGAACUGCAAUCUUUAUCAGAUAGCCUUCGGAUUUUAUUUCUCACUCUACGGGUGUCAGAAAAAUAUGAAACCUUAAAUCUAGCCUCAUAAAAAUAUUUCUGACUUAUCCUCCAAUUUUCAUAAUUUUCUGAGACUCUGCAUUUUCUGCUAAUUUAUCUGCCCCGUCUCUCACAGAAAAUUCUAAAUCUUCUGUUUUCAUUCCGAUUUCAGCACAAGUCAUUUCUAACUCAUAUUUCACUUCUCCAAAUCCAAUAAAAAUAGUAUCUCAUACUAUUUUUAUUUAUUUUUAUUUUUAUAUUUAAAUCCGGUAUAUUACAUUACACCGCAACUUUACCGGAACCAUUCAAAUGGCUCUCCAACCAAAUGGACACCGUAACCUCAUGAUUUUAGAAGU
Molecule: long non-coding RNA, 517 nt
Filed under: Ananas comosus (pineapple)
Lineage: Eukaryota; Viridiplantae; Streptophyta; Magnoliopsida; Poales; Bromeliaceae
Description: long non-coding RNA (ACOM_LNC010372)
Source: RNAcentral